CCUACGGGAGGCAGCAGUAGGGAAUAUUGCUCAAUGGGGGAAACCCUGAAGCAGCAACGCCGCGUGGAGGAUGAAGGUUUUCGGAUUGUAAACUCCUUUUGUUAGAGAAGAUAAUGUCGGUAUCUAACGGAUAAGCACCGGUCAACUCCGUGCCAGCAGCCGCGGUAAUACGGAGGGUGCACGCGUUACUCGGAAUCACUGGGCGGAAAGAGCGCGUAGGCGGGAUAGCAAGUCAGAUGUGAAAUCCUAUGGCUUAACCAGAGAACUGCAUUUGAAACUAUUCUUCUAGAGUAUGGGAGAGGUAGGUGGAAUUCCUGGUGUAGGGGUAAAAUGCGUAGAGAUCAAGAGGAAUACUCAUUGCGAAGGCGACCUGCUAGAACAUAACUGACGCUGAUGCGCGAAAGCGUGGGGAGCAAACAGGAUUAGAUACCCUAGUAGUC
Molecule: ribosomal RNA, 440 nt
Filed under: uncultured bacterium
Lineage: Bacteria
Description: partial 16S ribosomal RNA
Rfam family: Bacterial small subunit ribosomal RNA
Source: RNAcentral